GAUGAACGCUGGCGGCGUGCCUAAUACAUGCAAGUCGAGCGAACAGACGAGGAGCUUGCUCCUCUGACGUUAACGGCGGACGGGUGAGUAACACGUGGAUAACCUACCUAUAAGACUGGGAUAACUUCGGGAAACCGGAGCUAAUACCGGAUAAUAUAUUGAACAGCAUGGUUCAAUAGUGAAAGACGGUUUUGCUGUCACUUAUAGAUGGAUCCGCGCCGCAUUAGCUAGUUGGUAAGGUAACGGCUUACCAAGGCAACGAUGCGUAGCCGACCUGAGAGGGUGAUCGGCCAGACUGGAACUGAGACACGGUCCAGACUCCGACGGGAGGCAGCAGUAGGGAAUCUUCCGCAAUGGGCGAAAGCCUGACGGAGCAACGCCGCGUGAGUGAUGAAGGUCUUCGGAUCGUAAAACUCUGUUAUUAGGGAAGAACAAAUGUGUAAGUAACUAUGCACGUCUUGACGGUACCUAAUCAGAAAGCCACGGCUAACUACGUG
RNAcentral lists this ribosomal RNA (497 nucleotides) under uncultured bacterium. RNAcentral's name for it is "partial 16S ribosomal RNA". It matches the Rfam family "Bacterial small subunit ribosomal RNA", at positions 28 to 507 of the family's 1533-position model. The record is from RNAcentral.